CGGCAAAAGAAUAGGACUGAUGUCUAUUUUAAUGACACUGGAACAAUACCCGUGGUACUUUAUCUAAAACUGAAUGCAGCAUCCUCACUGAAUGAACAAUAAUAGACAAAAUGCUGUAAAACAUGAACAUGGUUUUAUCUAAUAUAAGCACAAUAGGAGGAGCAAAGUUGGAGAGAUGUUUAAUUCUGCCGAAUUAUUGUUUGUAGUACUGCAAAUUUUUUUUUACAAAUUUUGCAGUUCCCUCCAGCAUACAAAGGGUUGAGUUAUGAUUUGGGCAGAUGUGAAUGUUUAACGUUACAAACACACAGUCCAGAAAUGUACUGUUACAUGGUCUAAUAAUAAUAAUAAUAGUAUUAAAAAAAUCUUAUUUUUUUAAUCGGCUUUUGAAUAUCUUUGGAGGCUUUGUGGACAAUUCCACUCAAGCUUGUGAUAUAAAUAUUCAGUUUUACAUUGUGGAUUUAAAACUGAUC
Molecule: non-coding RNA, 470 nt
Organism: Pelobates cultripes (western spadefoot toad)
Lineage: Eukaryota; Metazoa; Chordata; Amphibia; Anura; Pelobatidae
Source: the annotation of a GenBank genome assembly